AUCUAAAGUUAUAUUCCUUUUUUGGCCAAUCAUGGUGCCUCAUUUUAACUAAAGAGACCUGAUUAUCCUUUGAAUCUGAAGCAGCCAUGUUGAUGACACAGACAGCUGAUGAAGCGCAACUCUUGCUUCUAAUAUUAAGAGAAUGUCAUCGUGACAGGGUCUCUAAACAAAUUCCGGAAAUCCGGGCACUAAGCUCUGGCUAUGCGCGGGGUCCAGGGAAUGGUCGGACUACAAAGGUCUAUUGUACGCAGCCUACAAAGGUCUAUUGUACGCAACCUUAUCCUGUAUUUCUGCAAGAAGCUAUUUUCAUGGCUCAAACCCGUAAUUGCAGCAACUUUACCAGUGAUAACAAAUGUAUAGUUAAGGUGGGCACAUGCUGACGCAAAUUUGGUUCAAAAAAGAAGAUAAGAUGCCCAUUUUGUUCGACCCUGCUUAGUGCUUGAAAUUUCAGCAUCCUCUUAUAAUGUGAGAGCUAGUAAGUUUGCUUUGUGGACUACCUUAAUAUUCCACUCUUGUUUAUUUAUUCUAAAGGAAACCAUCUUGUGUUAGAUGGCAGCUAAUAAGAAAAAGGACCACUCAGAUGGUAGUAAGAAGAGUUAAGAAGGGUCUACCAGUAGAUUGACUUUUCACGCCCUUAAGAAAUGAGAAAUGAAAUGCGUAAUUUACCAUGA
Long non-coding RNA from Nicotiana attenuata, 671 nucleotides. RefSeq lists it as uncharacterized. The transcript is spliced from 2 exons. The record is from RefSeq and is a predicted model, not a curated record. Lineage: Eukaryota; Viridiplantae; Streptophyta; Magnoliopsida; Solanales; Solanaceae.